This 464-nucleotide long non-coding RNA is filed under the name Phoenix dactylifera (date palm). RNAcentral's name for it is "long non-coding RNA (PDAC_LNC016511)". The record is from RNAcentral. Lineage: Eukaryota; Viridiplantae; Streptophyta; Magnoliopsida; Arecales; Arecaceae.
AGGCUAUAAAAGAAGGAGAUUUCUCCUCUUCGGGAAUCAAGCUUGGGAGCUCAUAGGCCAAAUCCCACAGAAACAGAGGGGGGAGAGAAGUUUGGGUCUUUUUGGGACUACCUUCUCAAAAGAAAAAACUAAUGAAUUGCUAGAGAAGAAAUGGGAGCCCGCUGCUGUGCCACUGUUGCUGUCGCCCACGACUCCAUGGAAGGCUGAUCUCCUCUCUAGGGCCGGAUGCAGCCCUAACAAAGAGACACGGGUUUUAUGUAUUUAAUUUUAUAUUCUUGGAGUUGUAUGAACUUAUUGUUUUUAAUGAAUAUCCUCUUUUAUCUCAUAUUUAAUUUCUGUGAUUUUAAAUAUGAUGUUUAUACAACUGUUCUUCAUGAUCACUAAGUUAAUAAAAGAUCACCCAUGCUUAGGGAAGAUGCAGUAUCCUGCCACAUUAGUUUAGGGUAGACAUUUCAUGCCAACCA